CGAUGUGAGGGCUAUCUGGCUGCGACAUCUGUCACCCCAUUGAUCGCCAGGGUUGAUUCGGCUGAUCUGGCUGGCUAGGCGGGGUCCCCUUCCUCCAUCACCGCUCCAUGUGCGUCCCUCCCGAAGCUGCACACUCGGUUGAAGAGGACGACCUUCCCCACUAGAGGAGGACUGGUCUUCGGUCAAGGGUAUACAAGUAGCUGCGCUCCCCUGCUAGAACCUCCAAACAAGCUCUCCCUGAGUUUUGCAAAUGUUAAGAAGCUUCUCCCUGAGUUUUCUCUUGAAGGUCUGAAACAAAGG
This 300-nucleotide small nuclear RNA is filed under the name Oryctolagus cuniculus (rabbit). Its description in RNAcentral is "7SK RNA". It matches the Rfam family "7SK RNA". From Rfam's summary of the family: 7SK was discovered as an abundant small nuclear RNA in the mid-70s but a possible function has only recently been suggested. Two independent studies have found that 7SK RNA binds the CDK9/cyclin T complex (known as elongation factor P-TEFb). Lineage: Eukaryota; Metazoa; Chordata; Mammalia; Lagomorpha; Leporidae. The record is from Rfam by way of RNAcentral.